RNAcentral lists this ribosomal RNA (388 nucleotides) under uncultured cyanobacterium. RNAcentral describes it as "bacterial SSU rRNA". It matches the Rfam family "Bacterial small subunit ribosomal RNA", at positions 392 to 795 of the family's 1533-position model. The record is from RNAcentral. Lineage: Bacteria; Bacillati; Cyanobacteriota.
CAACGCCGCGUGAGGGAGGAAGGCCUGUGGGUUGUAAACCUCUUUUCUCAGGGAAGAAGUACUGACGGUACCUGAGGAAUCAGCAUCGGCUAACUCCGUGCCAGCAGCCGCGGUAAGACGGAGGAUGCAAGCGUUAUCCGGAAUUAUUGGGCGUAAAGCGUCCGUAGGCGGUUCAGAAAGUCUGCUGUUAAAGCUCACAGCUCAACUGUGAAUCGGCAGUGGAAACUUCUGGACUAGAGAGUGGUAGGGGUAGAGGGAAUUCCUAGUGUAGCGGUGAAAUGCGUAGAUAUUAGGAAGAACACCAGUGGCGAAGGCGCUCUACUGGGCCAUUACUGACGCUGAUGGACGAAAGCUAGGGGAGCGAAAGGGAUUAGAUACCCCUGUAGUC